RNAcentral lists this ribosomal RNA (456 nucleotides) under uncultured bacterium. RNAcentral describes it as "bacterial SSU rRNA". It matches the Rfam family "Bacterial small subunit ribosomal RNA", at positions 340 to 786 of the family's 1533-position model. The record is from RNAcentral.
UACGGAAGGCAGCAGUGGGGAAUAUUGCACAAUGGGCGCAAGCCUGAUGCAGCCAUGCCGCGUGUAUGAAGAAGGCCUUCGGGUUGUAAAGUACUUUCAGUCGUGAGGAAGGUGUUAAGGUUAAUAACCUUAGCAAUUGACGUUAGCGACAGAAGAAGCACCGGCUAACUCCGUGCCAGCAGCCGCGGUAAUACGGAGGGUGCGAGCGUUAAUCGGAAUUACUGGGCGUAAAGGGCACGCAGGCGGUUAAUUAAGUUGGAUGUGAAAUCCCCGGGCUUAACCUGGGAAUGGCAUUCAAGACUGGUUAGCUAGAGUCUUGUAGAGGGGGUAGAAUUCCAUGUGUAGCGGUGAAAUGCGUAGAGAUGUUUGGAGGAAUACCGGUGGCGAAGGCGGCCCCUGGACAAAGGACUGACGCUCAUGUGCGAAAGCGUGGGGAGCAAACAGGGAUUAGAUACC